GCCAACACUGGGGCGCUGAGGCCACACUGACAAUCACCCUGCCGAGGGAGGCAGGCCUGAGAAGCCGCGAGCUAGGACGCUUGCACCAUACACAGUGCACGGGGUCUACGGGACAGGGGCCGCGCACGUGGAGCAGCGGCAUGAAAGUACACAAAACACAAGCCAUGAACGUGCCUGAGGUCGUAGGGAAGAGGGGAGAAAGGCAGAGAAAGAACCAGGCUCAGGAGCAGAGGCUGGAGGUCAGAGGCGGGCUUGGCUCUAAGCACCCCGAAGGCAAGCAAAGCCAAGGUCAGAUCUGGCACAGCAUUCCCGAGCCCCAAAAAGUUCCUUAGCCAACCGUCCGGGAGAAAUGAGACUUUACUGACACAAGACGAAGGCAAAAUUUCUCACACAGAUCCUCUCACGUGUCAGGCUCCUAAGUGUAAGUGAACAGCAUCCCAAAAGGAGGCUCAGGGACAGACUCCGUGUGUCUGUCCCCUCUCCCUCACUGGGAGCCACCGGCAGGAUUCUGAAGCAUGACUCACAGCCAGAAGUUACACAAACUUCAUCCUGUUUAUUUUGGCUCAUGCUUCCCGCCUCCAGAGGUCUCUCUGACCCUGGUGUGCGUUCAAGGAUUUGCUAAGCCCGUGAGCACGCGCUGUCUGCAUGUGUGAUAGGCGCCCACUCCCUCCUUCAGCCAAGUUACUGAAGUUAGAAACGGGAAAAUCGCGGGUCAGCAAAGCAACACCGGUGCCGGGUGAGGAAAAGCCAAGGAGCCUGGGUCCAAGGCCUGGCCACCCAGCCACGGGCAUAGCCCCACAUGGGGACCCAGCAUCUCUGCCCGAGGGACAGCUAGGACUGGCACCCGCACCCGACAGGCAGGACCGGCUGCGGCCAGCUGCCACGCGGGGUCCCGGACACAAUGCCUCCACCUACACAGGGCUCGUGGACACAGGACAGGGCAGGCUGUGCUGACACAGGCGCAUCCUUCCGGAAUGCCAGCGUGGCUGGACGCGUUUGCCCACGACAGCCUGAGACACAGCUCUCAGCCGUGUCAGUGUUGACAACCACGUUGCUUUCAAGACAGGAGCCAUCACAGGAGACCUGUGAGCCGUGGCUGAUGGGCUCUGCUCCUCCACGGCCUGCAUGAGGUGGCCCACGGCCAGCCACGCCCAGAGGAGCGCGCUCACAGGCUCAGCCACCCUCGGGAGGGGCCAGCUCGCUGGCUCUGCCCUUUCUUCCCACCCUACCGUGGACUGACGGUUCCGUAAAACAGUAAAAGACGGUCUUGCACGUUGUUACUAUGACAUUGUGUUAACACUGCUGCUGACCUGCGACACGGUGGCCUGCAGGCUGGCAGCCGUCACAGGCGGCACCCAGGGCACCAUGUCCUCAGGUGACGCCCCAGGCCACUUCUCGGCCCAGGAGCCUGCAGGUACAACAUGAAAGGACCGUGCCCGCACCCCUGCCAGGUGGGCAGUCCCAGAGAGAUGGGGACAGGCAGACAGCGAGCUCCUUGCUCACAUGACCUGGCUCACCUCUCCCACGAGCCCACAGGAGAAAUGGGUGAUUUGACAAGGAGCCAACGCCAGGCGGCUCUGUGGCCCCAAGGGCUCUGUUUCCCACGGAGCCGCCUGUGAGCUCGGCGGCCACACAUCCAGGAUCACACAUUCCCCAGAGAAGGCCGUUCAGACGGCGGAGGCACGUGGGCGCUGGGGUGCAAUUUGUCAAACGUUCUGUUCUUUGCUGUCUCUGCCUCCUGAUAUGGCACCAAGCAGCCAGGACCGCCUCUCCUGGCUCACAGGUGCAGGGUGGGCAGGGGCUCUACCCAGCAGGCGGGACAGAGGGACAGACAACAGGCAGGACAGAGGGGCAGUCGGGACUCUACCCAGCAGGCGGGACAGAGAGGCAGACAGCAGGGAGGACAGAGGGGCAGCCACAGGAAGAACUCGUAAGGGCCCUGCCCGGGGUGGGCGGCCUCCAAACUGAGGAACCUUCCUUUUUGCAGGGCUGGGUCCCACUACGGGGAGGUGGAGAACCGGGGUCUCGCAAGGCCGCAUCCCCUUCCUCGGGGGCCUCGACGUGUCAGCGUCCCGCGGAGCCCAGUGUCGAGGAGGGGCGGCCGGGGCAGGGCCAGAAGGCUGCCCCAACCCCUCAGGACCUCCCGGAGGCAGGAUGCCCACCCAGGCCAACUCUUGGGUGACCUUCCGGCCCAUUCCUUAAAAGUCUGGUUGGCAAAAAUACGUAAUAACGUAUAUGAUAACAGAGAGGAAAGCAAAAUAUGUUUUUCUCCAACGUACAAUUCAAAACAAAACCUGAGAGUAGUUCAAAGCACAAAACAGAAAACUUUAAAUGAAAACCGAUAUUCUGAAAAAAAAAUCAGGGUACUGACCCAUUCCAAAGACAAACAUACAUACUUUCCAAGCUGGUUUUAGGUGUCAGGAGGUUAUUUUAUUAGUAACGUAUACAGGCAGCGAUGACGCUUAAAUAUUAGAUUUCUCUGGGAUUUAGUGACAUUAUUUCCUUUGCAGAGAAGGUGGCCCUAUGGCUUAGAUUUGUACCGUGAGAUAUUUAAAUAAUCAUGACGUUGCAAGCCUCAUUUGCCGGGUCUAAGUCUUUACAGGCAAAUCGCAGGGAAGGCAGGGAGACACCUUCUGUCCAGGAUCAGGUCAGAAUGUUCCAUGAACCCCACUAAACAGCACAACACGAGACCCGGAGGGAGGGACAGUGGGGGGAAGGAAGGGGUCCAGGGCCAGCCCCGCCUUCCCGUCCCAGGUCCUCAGGCACAAGCCAGGGUGGUGACCCCAGCUGCACCCAGAGCCGCUGCCCUCAGGAAAACAGGCAGACAGGUCGGAAGGAAGGAGUGUUGGCAGGAAAGAUUUUCUCUUUUCCUUUCAGGUGCACAGACGCCUGCGGGAAGGGGCGCAGGACAGAGCCAUGUUCUGGGCACCGACGGCCCAUGCUGCCGCUUCCGGUCUCCCGGUCAUGUCCUCAGACUGAGACCCCGCAUUCGUGUUCGGCUCAGGAAGGCAGGCGUUGGCUCAGCCUGCCCAGGGGAAAGUGGGCACCCGUGUGCUGACGUGUGUGGGUGGCCAGCGAGAGCAAAGGAUCCAUCACCCUGAAACUGUCAUCCAUUCUCGACAAGCCCUGGGGAUUCUGGACUGGGCUUUGCCAAUAGCCCGCAGACGGCGUCCCCAACUUCCCGGCCCCAGCCGUCCGCGGCAAGGAUGCCGAGAACCUUCGCACACAUGCUUGACAGCCUCGUGCUGCCCCAGCUCAUCAGGAUGAUGCCAACUCGAUCUCGGGCCCUGAGAAGUGGGAGCCACGCGGCUUCUACUGAAAACUCCCAUGCGUGGCCUUCCUGCUGUGAAAACAGGACGCAGUGGUGCGGAUAAGCGAGGCUCCUCCAAGGGGAAGAGCGCCUGAGUACAUGGCGGGGCAUCCUCUGCGACGUCACAGACCCCAGGGAGCCAAGCAGGCUGAGGGGGAAAACAGGAGCAGACGACACACCCGACAGGGCGCUGGGACACCUCUGACCUGGGUGUCCCCACAGCAGCCUUCGGUGGUGCUCACAGGGCCCAUCCCCUGCCUCUCGGGGCUCAUCCAUGGGAAACAAAAGUAACCAGUGCAUGCGUGCGCACACUAUACAUAUGUGCACGCAUAUACACACUCAUGUGUGCAUAAUAUACACACGUGCACAUGCAUACACCUGUAUACACAUGUGCACAUAUAAACACGC
Long non-coding RNA from Acinonyx jubatus (cheetah), 3718 nucleotides. RefSeq lists it as uncharacterized. The transcript has 3 exons. Lineage: Eukaryota; Metazoa; Chordata; Mammalia; Carnivora; Felidae. The record is from RefSeq and is a predicted model, not a curated record.